RNAcentral lists this long non-coding RNA (390 nucleotides) under Pan troglodytes (chimpanzee). RNAcentral describes it as "long non-coding RNA NONPTRT006842". Lineage: Eukaryota; Metazoa; Chordata; Mammalia; Primates; Hominidae. The record is from RNAcentral.
GGGCUGGAGGGCAGGGAUGGUGUGAGAGCUCCUUCCUCGUCAUUUUACUCUGUCAGUAAGACAUGGAUGAGGUCUUGCAUCAGCUAGGAGGGGUCUGGAAACUUCUGAGUCAGGUCUUGUGCAGGGUGCUGGGGAUGAAAGGAUAAACAGGACAACAUCCUUGCUCUCCAGUAGCUACUGAUUUGAUGGGAAAAACCCACAGCCCAAGGGAAUAUAAUGGAAGGAGAGCCCACCUGAGAAUGAAGACAACACAGACAAAAGCACAGCUGAAUGGCAUGUAGAGAUACAGUGCGGGAGCUCCUGGAUGCACUGAUACCUGAAGCAAGACCUAUUCUUGGUCUCUUUUUUUGGUUACCUGAAGCAAACGUUUCCUUUACAAAAAAAUUGAAA